RNAcentral lists this ribosomal RNA (500 nucleotides) under uncultured bacterium. RNAcentral's name for it is "bacterial SSU rRNA". It matches the Rfam family "Bacterial small subunit ribosomal RNA", at positions 30 to 518 of the family's 1533-position model. The record is from RNAcentral.
UGAACGCUGGCGGCGUGCCUAACACAUGCAAGCGAACGGAGAUUAGACGCUGACGAGACUCGGUCAAAUCUGUUAAUCUUAGUGGCGGACGGGUGAGUAACGCGUGGGCAACCUGCCUCAUACUGGGGGAUAGCAGUUGGAAACGACUGAUAAUACCGCAUAAGCGCACGAGAUCGCAUGAUCUAGUGUGAAAAACUCCGGUGGUAUGAGAUGGGCCCGCGUCAGAUUAGCUAGUUGGUAAGGUAACGGCUUACCAAGGCGACGAUCUGUAGCCGGACUGAGAGGUCGGACGGCCACAUUGGGACUGAGACACGGCCCAAACUCCUACGGGAGACAGCAGUGGGGGAUAUUGCACAAUGGAGGAAACUCUGAUGCAGCGACGCCGCGUGAGUGAAGAAGUAUUUCGGUAUGUAAAGCUCUAUCAGCAGGGAAGAAAGGCUCGUAAGAGAGAUGACGGUACCUGACUAAGAAGCCCCGGCUAACUACGUGCCAGCCGCGGC